RNAcentral lists this ribosomal RNA (454 nucleotides) under uncultured bacterium. RNAcentral describes it as "bacterial SSU rRNA". It matches the Rfam family "Bacterial small subunit ribosomal RNA", at positions 28 to 526 of the family's 1533-position model. The record is from RNAcentral.
AACGAACGCUGGCGGCAGGCUUAACACAUGCAAGUCGAGCGGGCGCUUUCGGGCGUCAGCGGCGGACGGGUUAGUAACGCGUGGGAACGUGCCCUUUGCUCUGGAAUAGCCCUGGGAAACCGGGGGUAAUACCGGAUGUGCCCCGAGGGGGAAAGGUUUACCGGCAAGGGAUCGGCCCGCGUCUGAUUAGGUAGUUGGUGCGGUAACGGCGCACCAAGCCGACGAUCGGUAGCUGGUUUGAGAGGAUGAUCAGCAACACUGGGACUGAGACACGGCCCAGACUCCUACGGGAGGCAGCAGUGGGGAAUCUUAGACAAUGGGCGAAAGCCUGAUCUAGCCAUGCCGCGUGGGUGAUGAAGGCCUUAGGGUCGUAAAGCCCUUUCGCCGGGGAAGAUAAUGACGGUACCCGGUAAAGAAACCCCGGCUAACUCCGUGCCAGCCGCCGCCGUAAAAC